RNAcentral lists this ribosomal RNA (429 nucleotides) under Verrucomicrobiota bacterium. RNAcentral's name for it is "Verrucomicrobia bacterium partial 16S ribosomal RNA". It matches the Rfam family "Bacterial small subunit ribosomal RNA", at positions 355 to 776 of the family's 1533-position model. Lineage: Bacteria; Pseudomonadati; Verrucomicrobiota. The record is from RNAcentral.
UAGGGAAUCUUCCGCAAUGGACGAAAGUCUGAUGCAGCAAUGCCGCGUGAGUGAAGAAGGAUUUCGGUUUGUAAAACUCUGUUGUUAGGGAAGAAAAAAUGUAUAGUAACUAUAUACAAAAGAGACGGUACCUAACCAGAAAGCCACGGCUAACUACGUGCCAGCAGCCGCGGUAAUACGUAGGGGGCAAGCGUUGUCCGGAAUUAUUGGGCGUAAAGCGCGCGCAGGCGGUUUAGAAAGUCUGAUGUGAAAGCCCACGGCUCAACCGUGGAAUGUCAUUUGAAACUAAUAAACUUGAGUACGGAAGAGAAAAGUGGAAUUCCUAGUGUAGCGGUGAAAUGCGUAGAGAUUAGGAGGAACACCGGUGGCGAAGGCGGCUUUCUGGCCUGCAACUGACGCUGAGGCGCGAAAGCGUGGGGAGCAAACAGG